CAGGGAAGAGUCCUUCAGGGGAAUCAGACCCAGGGAAGAGUCCUUCAGGGGAAUCAGACCCAGGGAAGAGUCCUUCAGGGGAAUCAGACCCAGGGAAGAGUCCUUCAGGGGAAUCAGACCCAGGGAAGAGUCCUUCAGGGGAAUCAGACCCAGGGAAGAGUCCUUCAGGGGAAUCAGACCCAGGGAAGAGUCCUUCAGGGGAAUCAGCAGAAUCAGGCCCAGAGAUGCCCAAAGCAACAGGAGGACAUCAUCACUGCUCCCACUGUGGAAAGAGUUUUACCAAGUUAGGGAACCUGAAUAGGCAUGAGAGGACACACACAGGAGAAAAACCUUUCCAAUGCUCCCAGUGUGGAAAGAGUUUUAAUGAAUUAGGGUACCUAGUAAUACAUAAGAGAAUACACUAUGGAGAGAAGCCUUACCACUGCUCCAACUGCGGAAUGACUUUUACCUGGCCAGGAAGCCUGAAAACACAUGAGAGAAUUCACACUGGAGAAAAUCCUUUCCAAUGUUCACACUGUGGAAAGAAUUUUACCCAGUUAGGGAACCUAAAUCGGCACAAGAGGACACACACAGGAGAGAAGCCUUAUCACUGUUCCCAGUGUGGAAAGAGUUUUAGGGGUUUAAUGAGCCUAAAACAGCAUGAGAGGACACACACAGGAGAAAAGCCUUACCAAUGCACCAUAUGUGGAAAGAGAUUUACCCUGUUAAAGUCCAUGAAAUUACAUGGAAGAAUACAUACAGGAGAGAAGCAUUAUCAAUGUUCCCAGUGUGGAAAGAAUUUUAGGGGUUUAGUGAACCUGAAACGGCAUGAGAGGACACACACACAAGAAAAGCCCUACCACUGCUCCCUGUGUGGAAAGAGUUUUACGAAGUUAGAGGGCCUGACUAGGCAUGAGAGGACACACACAGGAGGGGAUAAGACCACUGCUCCCUGUGUGGAAAGAGAUUUACCCAGUUAAAGUCCAUGAAAUUACAUGGAAGAAUACAUACAGGAGAGAAGCAUUAUCAAUGUUCCCAGUGUGGAAAGAAUUUUAGGGGUUUAGUGAACCUGAAACAGCAUGAGAGGACACACACACACACACACACACACAAGAAAAGCCCUACCACUGCUCCCUGUGUGGAAAGAGUUUUACCAAGUUAGAGGGUCUGACUAGGCAUGAGAGGACACACACAGGAGGAGAUAAGACCACUGCUCCCUGUGUGGAAAGAGAUUUACCAAGUUAGAGGGUCUGACUAGGCAUGAGAGGACACACACAGGAGGGGAUAAGACCACUGCUCCCUGUGUGGAAAGAGAUUUAACCGGUUGAGGCAUCUGAAUAAGCAUGAAAGAAUACAUACACAGGAGGAGAAGACAUACCACUGCUCUCAUUGUGGAAAGACAUUUUCCCAGUCAGAAGACCUGAAAGCACAUGAGAGAAUAGAGAGACUGUGUUCUGACUUGUGUUUUUGACUGAAAAUUAGUGUUUUAGUUUGGCACAUUAAAUCAUAUUGUUUAAAUGAAAUCAUACAUGAAAAUCUGACCAAAACAACAGGCCUGUUUUUGUUGUUUUUUCAUAUUGAUCAUGUCUAAAAUCAAUUAAAUAUUUUAAGGUGUAUUUUGUUUUUCUUUAUUAGCUUUGAUUGGUUGUAUACAAGUAUAAACCCUCUGUUGUUCAUAAUAUGAUUUGGAUAUUGCUAAAUGUAAAUGAUUAUAUAAGGAAGGAAGUAGCCUUGGCUUGUCUGAGCCAGAACGGCUCACAGUAGCAGGAGCUGUUUCUGUAGUGUGAGGCAGCUUGAUGUACAGUACUUCCCCUGGACAGGACUCUAGUCUAUACAGUACCACAGUAUAGUAACAGGACUCUAGUCUAUACAGUACCACAGUAUAGUAACAGGACUCUAGUCUAUACAGUACCACAGUAUAGUAACAGGACUCUAGUCUAUACAGUACCACAGUAUAGUAACAGGACUCUAGUCUAUACAGUACCACAGUAUAGUAACAGGAGCCUACCUCCUGUUUCUGUAGUGUGAGGCAGCUUGAUGUACAAGUUCUUCCCCUGGACAGGACUCUAAUCUAUUAAGUUAUUAUAUAGCUUCAUUUCAUUUUGCUAUUCUUCACUCCAACCUUGAAUUUGAUUUGAUAUAUGAUUUGGAUAUUUCUAAAUGACUUUGAUUGGAUACAGCUGCAGCCAAAUAUAUUGGCACCCUUGCACUUAGAAAUAAUUCCCUAUUUCUUCUCAAAUCAGUCUAGUACCACUACUUUACUAUGAUGGUCUCCACACGUUAUUGUACUAGCUCCAUUACUAUACUAUGAUGGUCUCCACACCUUUGUUAUUGUACUAGCUCCACUACUAUACUAUGAUGGUCUCCACACCUUGUUAUUGUACUAGCUCCACUACUAUACUAUGAUGGUCUCCACACCUUGUUAUUGUACUAGCUCCACUACUAUCUCCAGUACUAUACUAUGAUGGUCUCCACACCUUGUUAUUGUACUGGCUCCACUAUGAUACUAUGAUGGUCUCCACACCUUGUUAUUGUACUGGCUCCACUACUAUACUAUGAUGGUCUCCACACCUUGUUAUUGUACUAGCUCCACUACUAUACUAUGAUGGUGUCCACACCUUGUUAUUGUACUGGCUCCACUACUAUACUAUGAUGGUCUCCACAUCUUGUUAUUGUACUGGCUCCACUACUAUACUAUGAUGGUCUCCACACCUUGUUAUUGUACUGGCUCCACUACUAGUACUACUACUAUACUAUGAUGGUCUCCACACCUUGUUAUUGUACUAGCUCCACUACUAUACUAUGAUGGUCUCCACACCUUGUUAUUGUACUAGCUCCACUACUGUACUAUGAUGGUCUCCACACCUUGUUAUUGUACUAGCUCCACUACUAUCUCCACUACUAUACUAUAAUGGUCUCCACACCUUGUUAUUGUACUGGCUCCACUACUAUACUAUGAUGGUCUCCACACCUUGUUAUUGUACUAGCUCCACUACUAUACUAUGAUGGUCUCCACACCUUGUUAUUGUACGAGCUCCACUACUAUACUAUGAUGGUCUCCACACCUUGUUAUUGUACUAGCUCCACUACUAUCUCCACUACUAUACUAUAAUGGUCUCCACACCUUGUUAUUGUACUGGCUCCACUACUAUACUAUGAUGGUCUCCACACCUUGUUAUUGUACUAGCUCCACUACUAUACUAUGAUGGUCUCCACACCUUAUUGUACAAGCUCCACUACUAUACUAUGAUGGUCUCCACACCUUGUUAUUGUACUAGCUCCACUACUAUCUCCACUACUAUACUAUGAUGGUCUCCACACCUUGUUAUUGUACUGGCUCCACUACUAUACUAUGAUGGUCUCCACACCUUGUUAUUGGACUGGCUCCACUACUAUACUAUGAUGGUCUCCACACCUUGUUAUUGUACUGGCUCCACUACUAGUACUACUAAUAUACUAUGAUGGUCUCCACACCUUGUUAUUGUACUGGCUCCACUACUAUACUAUGAUGGUCUCCACACCUUGUUAUUGUACUGGCUCCACUACUAGUACUACUACUAUACUAUGAUGGUCUCCACACCUUGUUAUUGUACUAGCUCCACUACUAUACUAUGAUGGUCUCCACACGUUAUGGUACUGGCUCCACUACUAUACUAUGAUGGUCUCCACACCUUGUUACCUUACUGGCCCCACUACUAUACUAUGAUGGUCCCCACCUUGUUAUUGUACUGGCUCCACUACUAGUACUACUACUAUACUAUGAUGGUCUCCACACCUUGUUAUUGUACUGGCUCCACUACUGUACUAUGAAGGUCUCCACACCUUGUUAUUGUACUAGCUCCACUACUAGCUCCACUACUAUACUAUGAUGGUCUCCACAAGUUGUUAAUGCCUGAAUUAAGAAAGUGUUUAGUGAUUUCUGAUUGUAUGAGUCCUGUGGGAAUAGGGUCCAAGGGGCAGCUAGUUGACCUCAUUUUAUGGACCAUUUCAGAGACCUGUUGGGGUUGUCAAUGAGAAUGUGGUGAAACUGCAGCUGGGAGGCUCAGUGUGAAGCAGAGGGGCAGGUCUGAAUCAAGGGGUAGAUUGUACAGUGAAGUAAAUGCUCUUCAUUUCGUGUUCAGUGCCUCUUUGUAUGCAGUCUGUUGAUAUACCAGGGACUGGGGAUGUAGUUAGGUUUGUAUGCAGUCUGUUGAUAUACCAGGGACUGGGGAUGCAGUUAGGUUUGUAUACAGUCUGGUGAUAUACCAGGGCCUGAGGAUGUAGUUAGGUUUGUAUACAGUCUGGUGAUAUACCAGGGCCUGAGGAUGUAGUUAGGUUUGUAUGCAGUCUGUUGAUAUACCAGGGCCUGAGGAUGCACAGUUAGCUUUGUUUUCCUCUAGCUACUCUGCAGUUUGCUCCCAGCAGCUUUCAUAGAACGUAGAUCACUGUUAAACUAGGCAGCAGAGCGUUUGUUUGACUGAAUGAAUAUGACAUUGACUUAAAUGCAGCGUUAGAUGUAAAGUUUAAAUUCUCAUUCAUUACUAAUCAAUCAACACAUGCUUUCCUUGGACGUAUCAAUAUAAUAUUAUUAUUUAGUGAAAUACAUUUUAAAAAUACCCUUUUUUGUCAGGAAAUAAAAUAAACUUUUCCUUAUACUGCGUUACCCACUCCAGUCAGCUGAUAACGAUGCUGCCAGUGUGACGUAUAAUCUAGUGGACGGGACACUUCAACAACAACAGCGAGUCAGUCACUUCAGUAGCUUGCUAGGCGACGUAGCCUAAACGUUCAAGCUUUUUAGACUGUUUCUGUCCAUACUUGCCUAUGUGUUUUAAACAUACUUCUGUUUUAUAGCGAGUUGCCCCAUUUAUUUUCUUAUUUACGUUGUUAGUCAGGCAGAUGUCUUAAAUUUGCCUAGCGCUAGGCUAGUCGCUAAUGCUAACUAGCUAGCUAUUAUCCCCGACCAUGAGUUCACUAAGCUACUCUCCUCCUGCUAAAGAAGAGGUCUGCUGGACGGAGGAAGAAGCUCUGGGGCUGAACAUUGUCGUGGAAGAGGAGGAUGUCACAGUAAAACAAAAAGUAGAGGGAGAGAGACCAGACUCUCCUUCUGACAGCAGGAAGAGUCCUUCAGAGGAACCAGACCCUGAGAUGUUCAAACCAGCAGGACGACAUCACUGCUCCCAGUGUGGAAAGAGUUUUACUCAGUUAGGGAGCCUGAGAACACAUAAGAGAAUACACACUGGAGAGAAGCCUUACCACUGCUCCUUGUGCGGAAAGAGUUUUAGGUGGUUAGGGAGCGUGGAAAGGCAUGAGAGGACACACACAGGAGAAAAGCCUUUCCAUUGUUCCCAUUGUGGAAAGAGUUGUACACAGUUAGGGAGCCUGAAGGAGCAUGAGAGAAUACACACAGGAGAAAAGCCUUACCAAUGUUCCCAUUGUGGAAAGCAUUUUGCCCAGUUAGGAAACCUGAACCAGCAUGAGAGGAUACACACAGGAAAAAAGACGCACCACUGCUCCCACUGUGGAAAGAGAUUUACCCGCUUAAGGUACCUGAAAGAGCAUGAAAGAAUACAUACAAAUACACAAGAGGAGAAGACAUACCAUUGCUCUCAUUGUGGAAAGACAUUCUCCCAGUCAGAGGACCUGAAAUCACAUGAGAGAAUAGAGAGGCUGUGUUCUGACUUGUGUUUUUGACUGAGAAUUUGUGAUUUUGUUUGGACUGUCAGACUUGAGUUCCCUUUGUGUAAUGUUAGUGCACAAUUUUUUUAUUGCGAUUAAUCCAUUGUCUGGAAGGGUUAAAAAUACACUGAAAACAUCCAAAAUACAUCCUGUGUACUGUUAAAAUCUACAAUGCCAUGUAAAAACAAGAUGACAUUGAGGUUAAAUAAAGGGUGCUUUAUCAAUGUAACAUA
Salmo salar (Atlantic salmon) is the source of this 5867-nucleotide non-coding RNA. Lineage: Eukaryota; Metazoa; Chordata; Actinopteri; Salmoniformes; Salmonidae. The record is from RefSeq and is a predicted model, not a curated record.